This 263-nucleotide long non-coding RNA is filed under the name Manihot esculenta (cassava). RNAcentral describes it as "long non-coding RNA (MESC_LNC003957)". Lineage: Eukaryota; Viridiplantae; Streptophyta; Magnoliopsida; Malpighiales; Euphorbiaceae. The record is from RNAcentral.
AGGUGAACCUGCAGUCCUUCAGAAUCAGCCUUUAAGGCCUCAUAUUGAUGCUGGACCUCAGUUCUCUGGCUCACAGCCUCAUCUCUCUCUCGAAGGGCCCCCGUCAUAGAAGACAGCUGCUUUAAAACUUCUGUACAAUGAGCCUCCACGGCAGCUGCUCUCUCAUCAGACUCCUUGAGAACCUUGCGAGUAUGAGACAGCUCUGCUUCUAAAGACUUGGUGUGCUCUGCUGUCUCAACUGCCUUCUCCUCAGCCUUUUUAAU